ACUGAAAGGCAAACAGCUUCUGGCUCUCAGG
Molecule: non-coding RNA, 31 nt
Filed under: Homo sapiens (human)
Lineage: Eukaryota; Metazoa; Chordata; Mammalia; Primates; Hominidae
Source: RNAcentral